AAUUAACGCUGGCAGAGUGCAUAACACAUGCAAGUCGAGCGGAACCGUUUGAGAUUACAUCAAGGGCAGUUUAGCGGCAGACGAGUGAGUAACACGUAAGCAAUCUACCCUCGAAGUGGCGAAUAACUAUCCGAAAGGAUAGCUAAUGCGCCGUACUCUCCUUGGAAGGCAUCUUCCGAGGAGGAUAGACCCGCAAGGGUCGUUCGUGGAGGAGCUUGCGGCCCAUCAGCUAGUUGGCGGUGUAACGGACCACCAAGGCUACGACGGGUACCCGGCCUGAAAGGGCGAACGGGCACGAUGGCACUGAGACACGGGCCAUAC
RNAcentral lists this ribosomal RNA (321 nucleotides) under uncultured bacterium. Its description in RNAcentral is "bacterial SSU rRNA". It matches the Rfam family "Bacterial small subunit ribosomal RNA", at positions 29 to 336 of the family's 1533-position model. The record is from RNAcentral.